This 253-nucleotide ribosomal RNA is filed under the name uncultured bacterium. Its description in RNAcentral is "partial 16S ribosomal RNA". It matches the Rfam family "Bacterial small subunit ribosomal RNA", at positions 524 to 776 of the family's 1533-position model. The record is from RNAcentral.
UACGUAGGGUGCGAGCGUCGAUCGGAAUUACUGGGCGUAAGGCGUGCGCAGGCGGUUUUGAAAGUCAGAUGUGAAAUCCCCGGGCUCAACCUGGGAACUGCGUUUGAAACUCCAAGACUAGAGUAUAGGAGAGGGGGGUAGAAUUCCACGUGUAGCAGUGAAAUGCGUAGAGAUGUGGAGGGAUACCAACGGCGAAGGCAGCCCCCUGGCCUAAUACUGACGCUCAUGCACGAAAGCGCGGGGAGCAAACAGG